This 930-nucleotide long non-coding RNA is filed under the name Homo sapiens (human). Its description in RNAcentral is "non-protein coding lnc-HIST4H4-3:1". Lineage: Eukaryota; Metazoa; Chordata; Mammalia; Primates; Hominidae. The record is from RNAcentral.
GAUUACAGGGUUGCAAUAUUAUCUCAUAUCUUUGGGGCUGCUUAGAUUUCUUUUUUCAAUGCUUCAUUGUUGCGGAAAGUCAGGGACCCUGAACGGAGGGACCGGCUGAAGCCAUGGCAGAAGAACGUGGAUUGUGAAGAUUUCAUGGACAUUUAUUAGUUCCCCAAAUUAAUACUUUUAUAAUUUCUUACGCCUGUCUUUACUGCAAUCUCUAAACAUAAAUUGUGAAGAUUUCAUGGACACUUAUCACUUCCCCAAUCAAUACCCUUGUGAUUUCCUAUGCCUGUCUUUACUUUAAUCUCUUAAUCCUGUCAUCUCGUAAACUGAGGAGGAUGUAUGUCGCCUCAGGACCCUGUGAUGAUUGCAUUAACUGCACAAAUUUUAGAGCAUGUGUGUUUGAACAAUAUGAAAUCUGGGCACCUUGAAAAAAGAACAGGAUAACAGCAAUGUUCAGGGAACAAGAGAGAUAACCUUAAACUCUGACUACUGGUGAGCCGGGAGGAACACAGCCAUAUUUCUCUUCUUUCAAAAGCAAAUGGGAGAAAUAUCAUCGCUGAAUUCUUUUUCUCAGCAAGGAACAUCCCUGAGAAAGAGAAUGCACCCCUGAGGGUCGGCCUCUAAAAUGGCCCCCUUGGGUGUGGCCGUCUUCUAUGGUCAAAACUGUAGGGAUGAAAUAAGCCCCAGUCUCCCAUAGCGCUCCCAGGCUUAUUAGGAUGAGGAAAUUCCCACCUAAUAAAUUUUGGUCAGACUGGUUGCUCUCAAACCCUAUCUCCUGAUAAGAUGAUAUCAAUGACAAUGGUACCCGAAACUUCAUUAGCAAUUUUAAUUUCGCCCCAGUCCUGUGGUCCUGUGAUCUCGCCCUGCCUCCAUUUGCCUUGUGAGAUUCUAUUACCUUGUGAAGCACAUGAUCUCUGUGACCCACACCCUAUU